AUUGAACGCUGGCGGCAGGCCUAACACAUGCAAGUCGAACGAGUGGCGGACGGGUGAGUAAUGCCUGGGAAACUGCCUGAUGGAGGGGGAUAACUUCUGGAAACGGUAGCUAAUACCGCAUACCCUCAGAUGCGCCCAGAUGGGAUUAGCUUGUUGGUGGGGUAAUGGCUCACCAAGGCGACGACCCCUAGCUGGUCUGAGAGGCUGACCAACCGCUCUGGAACUGAGACACGGUCCAGACUCCUACGAGAGGCAGCAGUGGGGAAUAUUGCACAGUGGGCGCAAGCCUGAUGCAGCCAUGCCGCGUGUAUGAAGAAGGCCUUCGGGUUGUAAAGUACUUUCAGCGGGGAGGCGUUACCCGCAGAAGAAGCACGGGCUAACUCCGUGCCAGCAGCCGCGGUAAUUC
Molecule: ribosomal RNA, 406 nt
Filed under: uncultured bacterium
Lineage: Bacteria
Description: partial 16S ribosomal RNA
Rfam family: Bacterial small subunit ribosomal RNA
Source: RNAcentral